RNAcentral lists this ribosomal RNA (1194 nucleotides) under metagenome. Its description in RNAcentral is "bacterial SSU rRNA". It matches the Rfam family "Bacterial small subunit ribosomal RNA", at positions 316 to 1520 of the family's 1533-position model. The record is from RNAcentral.
GUACUGAGACACGGACCAGACUCCUACGGGAGGCAGCAGUAAGGAAUAUUGGUCAAUGGGCGCAAGCCUGAACCAGCCAUGCCGCGUGCAGGAAGACGGCCCUACGGGUUGUAAACUGCUUUUAUACGGGAAUAAUUCUCCAUUCGUGAAUGGAGUUGAAUGUACUGUAAGAAUAAGGAUCGGCUAACUCCGUGCCAGCAGCCGCGGUAAUACGGAGGAUCCAAGCGUUAUCCGGAUUUAUUGGGUUUAAAGGGUGCGUAGGCGGCUUUUUAAGUCAGGGGUGAAAGACGGUGGCUCAACCAUCGCAGUGCCUUUGAUACUGAAGAGCUAGAUUACACUAGAGGUAGGCGGAAUGUGACAAGUAGCGGUGAAAUGCAUAGAUAUGUCACAGAACACCGAUUGCGAAGGCAGCUUACUAUGGUGUCAAUGACGCUGAGGCACGAAAGCGUGGGGAUCAAACAGGAUUAGAUACCCUGGUAGUCCACGCCCUAAACGAUGAAUACUCGAUGUUAGCGAUAUACAGUUAGCGUCAAAGCGAAAGCGUUAAGUAUUCCACCUGGGGAGUACGCCCGCAAGGGUGAAACUCAAAGGAAUUGACGGGGGCCCGCACAAGCGGAGGAGCAUGUGGUUUAAUUCGAUGAUACGCGAGGAACCUUACCCGGGCUUGAAAGUUAGUGAAUGGAUCAGAGAUGGUUCAGUGAGCAAUCACACGAAACUAGGUGCUGCAUGGCUGUCGUCAGCUCGUGCCGUGAGGUGUUGGGUUAAGUCCCGCAACGAGCGCAACCCCUAUGUUUAGUUGCCAGCACGUUAAGGUGGGGACUCUAAACAGACUGCCUGUGCAAACAGAGAGGAAGGAGGGGACGACGUCAAGUCAUCAUGGCCCUUACGUCCGGGGCUACACACGUGCUACAAUGGACGGUACAGAGGGCAGCUACUUCGCAAGGAGACGCCAAUCUCAAAAAGCCGUUCACAGUUCGGAUAGAGGUCUGCAACUCGACCUCUUGAAGUUGGAUUCGCUAGUAAUCGCAGAUCAGCAAUGCUGCGGUGAAUACGUUCCCGGGCCUUGUACACACCGCCCGUCAAGCCAUGGAAGCUGGGAGUACCUGAAGUGCGUAACCGCAAGGAGCGUCCUAGGGUAAAAUCGGUAACUGGGGCUAAGUCGUAACAAGGUAGCCGUACCGGAAGGUGCGGCUG